Molecule: ribosomal RNA, 758 nt
Filed under: uncultured Prevotella sp.
Lineage: Bacteria; Pseudomonadati; Bacteroidota; Bacteroidia; Bacteroidales; Prevotellaceae
Description: bacterial SSU rRNA
Rfam family: Bacterial small subunit ribosomal RNA
Source: RNAcentral
GAUGAACGCUAGCUACAGGCUUAACACAUGCAAGUCGAGGGGCAGCAUGGAAGAAGCUUGCUUCUUCUGAUGGCGACCGGCGCACGGGUGCGUAACGCGUAUCAAACCUGCCUCAUACUCGGGGAUAGCCUUGCGAAAGUAAGAUUAAUACCCGAUGUUGUUAUGUUACCGCAUGGUGAUAUAACCAAAGAUUUAUCGGUAUGAGAUGGUGAUGCGUCCGAUUAGGUAGUAGGCGGGGUAACGGCCCACCUAGCCUUCGAUCGGUAGGGGUUCUGAGAGGAAGGUCCCCCACACUGGAACUGAGACACGGUCCAGACUCCUACGGGAGGCAGCAGUGAGGAAUAUUGGUCAAUGGACGCAAGUCUGAACCAGCCAAGUAGCGUGCAGGAUGACGGCCCUCCGGGUUGUAAACUGCUUUUAGUUGGGAAUAAAAAAGGGGACGUGUCCUCUAUUGUAUGUACCUUCAGAAAAAGGACCGGCUAAUUCCGUGCCAGCAGCCGCGGUAAUACGGAAGGUCCAGGCGUUAUCCGGAUUUAUUGGGUUUAAAGGGAGCGUAGGCGGAUUAUUAAGUCAGUGGUGAAAGACGGUGGCUCAACCAUCGUUAGCCAUUGAAACUGGUAGUCUUGAGUGCAGACAGGGAUGCUGGAACUCGUGGUGUAGCGGUGAAAUGCUUAGAUAUCACGAUGAACUCCGAUCGCGAAGGCAGGUGUCCGGGCUGCAACUGACGCUGAGGCUCGAAAGUGUGGGUAUCAAACAGG